This 496-nucleotide ribosomal RNA is filed under the name uncultured bacterium. Its description in RNAcentral is "partial 16S ribosomal RNA". It matches the Rfam family "Bacterial small subunit ribosomal RNA", at positions 28 to 507 of the family's 1533-position model. The record is from RNAcentral.
GAUGAACGCUGGCGGCGUGCCUAAUACAUGCAAGUCGAGCGAACGGACGAGAAGCUUGCUUCUCUGAUGUUAGCGGCGGACGGGUGAGUAACACGUGGAUAACCUACCUAUAAGACUGGGAUAACUUCGGGAAACCGGAGCUAAUACCGGAUAAUAUUUUAACCGCAUGGUUCAAAAGUGAAAGACGGUCUUGCUGUCACUUAUAGAUGGAUCCGCGCUGCAUUAGCUAGUUGGUAAGGUAACGGCUUACCAAGGCAACGAUGCAUAGCCGACCUGAGAGGGUGAUCGGCCACACUGGAACUGAGACACGGUCCAGACUCCUACGGGAGGCAGCAGUAGGGAAUCUUCCGCAAUGGGCGAAAGCCUGACGGAGCAACGCCGCGUGAGUGACGAAGGUCUUCGGAUCGUAAAACUCUGUUAUUAGGGAAGAACAUAUGUGUAAGUAACUGUGCACAUCUUGACGGUACCUAAUCAGAAAGCCACGGCUAACUACGUG